Non-coding RNA from Desarmillaria ectypa, 133 nucleotides. The record is from the annotation of a GenBank genome assembly. NCBI's taxonomy places the organism in Eukaryota, Fungi, Basidiomycota, Agaricomycetes, Agaricales, Physalacriaceae.
GGUGGGAUGGCCGAGCGGUCUAAGGCGCCAGACUAAGGCCGAUCGAUCGAUCAGUCGAUCGUAGGAUCCGAUCACCUUGUGAUCAUGCUAUAUCUGGUCCGAAAGGGCGUGGGUUCGAAUCCCACUCCCAUCA